UACGAAGGGACCUAGCGUAGUUCAGAAUUACUGGGCUUAAAGAGUUCGUAGGUGGUUGAAAAAGUUGGUGGUGAAAUCCCAGAGCUUAACUCUGGAACUGCCAUCAAAACUUUUCAGCUAGAGUAUGAUAGAGGAAAGCAGAAUUUCUAGUGUAGAGGUGAAAUUCGUAGAUAUUAGAAAGAAUACCAAUUGCGAAGGCAGCUUUCUGGAUCAUUACUGACACUGAGGAACGAAAGCAUGGGUAGCGAAGAGGAUUAGAUACCCUCGUAGUCCAUGCCGUAAACGAUGUGUGUUAGACGUUGGAAAUUUAUUUUCAGUGUCGCAGCGAAAGCGAUAAACACACCGCCUGGGGAGUACGACCGCAAGGUUAAAACUCAAAUGAAUUGACGGGGACCCGCACAAGUAGUGGAGCAUGUGGUUUAAUUCGAAGAUACGCGCAGAACCUUACCAACACUUGACAUGUUCGUCGCGACUCUAAGAGAUUAGAGUUUUCGGUUCGGCCGGACGAAACACAGGUGCUGCAUGGCUGUCGUCAGCUCGUGUCGUGAGAUGUUGGGUUAAGUCCCGCAACGAGCGCAACCCUCACUUUUAGUUGCCAUCAUUAAGUUGGGCACUCUGAAAGAACUGCCAGUGGUAAGCUGGAGGAAGGUGGGGAUGACGUCAAGUCCUCAUGGCCCUUACGUGUUGGGCUACACACGUGCUACAAUGGUAUCUACAACAGGAAGCAAGACUGCGAAGUUAAGCAAAUCCCUAAAAGAUACCUCAGUUCGGAUUGCACUCUGCAACUCGAGUGCAUGAAGCUGGAAUUACUAGUAAUCGUGGAUCAGCGUGCCACGGUGAAUGCGUUCCCGGGUCU
RNAcentral lists this ribosomal RNA (856 nucleotides) under uncultured bacterium. RNAcentral's name for it is "SSU rRNA". It matches the Rfam family "Bacterial small subunit ribosomal RNA", at positions 524 to 1381 of the family's 1533-position model. The record is from RNAcentral.